AACGCUGGCGGCUGCCUAAUACAUGCAAGUAGAACGCUGAAGAGAGGAGCUUGCUCUUCUUGGAUGAGUUGCGAACGGGUGAGUAACGCGUACGUAACCUGCCUUGUAGCGGGGGAUAACUAUUGAAAACGAUAGCUAAUACCGCAUAACAAUGGGUGACACAUGUCAUUUAUUUGAAAGGGGCAAUUGCUCCACUACAAGAUGGACCUGCGUUGUAUUAGCUAGUAGGUGAGGUAACGGCUCACCUAGGCGACGGUACAUAGCCGACCUGAGAGGGUGAUCGGCCACACUGGGACUGAGACACGGCCCAGACUCCUACGGGAGGCAGCAGUAGGGAAUCUUCGGCAAUGGGGGCAACCCUGACCGAGCAACGCCGCGUGAGUGAAGAAGGUUUUCGGAUCGUAAAGCUCUGUUGUAAGUCAAGAACGAGUGUGAGAGUGGAAAGUUCACACUGUGACGGUAGCUUACCAGAAAGGGACGGCUAACUACGUGCCAGCAGCCGCGGUAAUACGUAGGUCCCGAGCGUUGUCCGGAUUUAUUGGGCGUAAAGCGAGCGCAGGCGGUUUGAUAAGUCUGAAGUUAAAGGCUGCGGCUCAACCAUAGUUCGCUUUGGAAACUGUCAAACUUGAGUGCAGAAGGGGAGAGUGGAAUUCCAUGUGUAGCGGUGAAAUGCGUAGAUAUAUGGAGGAACACCGGUGGCGAAAGCGGCUCUCUGGUCUGUAACUGACGCUGAGGCUCGAAAGCGUGGGGAGCGAACAGGAUUAGAUACCCUGGUAGUCCACGCCGUAAACGAUGAGUGCUAGGUGUUGGAUCCUUUCNCGGGAUUCAGUGCCGCAGCUAACGCAUUAAGCACUCCGCCUGGGAGUACGA
This 870-nucleotide ribosomal RNA is filed under the name uncultured Streptococcus sp. RNAcentral's name for it is "bacterial SSU rRNA". It matches the Rfam family "Bacterial small subunit ribosomal RNA", at positions 32 to 885 of the family's 1533-position model. The record is from RNAcentral. Lineage: Bacteria; Bacillati; Bacillota; Bacilli; Lactobacillales; Streptococcaceae.